RNAcentral lists this ribosomal RNA (301 nucleotides) under uncultured bacterium. RNAcentral's name for it is "partial 16S ribosomal RNA". It matches the Rfam family "Bacterial small subunit ribosomal RNA", at positions 509 to 807 of the family's 1533-position model. The record is from RNAcentral.
CAGUAGCCGCGGUAAUGCGUAGGUGGCAAGCGUUGUCCGGAAUUAUUGGGCGUAAAGGGCUCGCAGGCGGUUUCUUAAGUCUGAUGUGAAAGCCCCCGGCUCAACCGGGGAGGGUCAUUGGAAACUGGGAAACUUGAGUGCAGAAAAGGAGAGUGGAAUUCCACGUGUAGCGGUGAAAUGCGUAGAGAUGUGGAGGAACACCAGUGGCGAAGGCGACUCUCUGGUCUGUAACUGACGCUGAGGAGCGAAAGCGUGGGGAGCGAACAGGAUUAGAUACCCCUGUAGUCCCUGUCUCUUAUAC